UGUGAGCCGACCGCGGGCGCUGGGCGGGUCCGCGGCGCGGUCGGUCGGCGCCUAUUCUCGGGCUGUUUGGCGGGUGAAUCAGGUCUAGGAAAAUCGACUCUCAUAAACAGCCUAUUCCUAACUGAUCUGUACCCAGAAAGAGUCAUACCUGGAGCAGCAGUUUGUUUCUUUUCUAGAAAAAAUUGAAAGAACCGUCCAGAUUGAGGCUUCAACUGUUGAAAUUGAAGAGCGAGGGGUCAAGCUACGCCUGACAGUGGUAGAUACCCCUGGCUAUGGUGACGCUAUCAACUGCAGAGAUUGUUUUAAGACAAUUAUCUCCUAUAUUGAUGAGCAAUUUGAGAGGUACCUGCAUGACGAGAGCGGCUUGAACAGGCGGCACAUCAUUGAUAAUAGGGUGCAUUGUUGCUUUUACUUUAUUUCACCUUUUGGACAUGGACUUAAGCCCUUAGAUGUGGCGUUUAUGAAGGCAAUACACAACAAGGUGAAUAUUGUGCCUGUCAUUGCAAAAGCUGACACUCUCACCCUGAAGGAACGGGAGCGGCUGAAGAAAAGGAUUCUGGA
Molecule: small RNA, 561 nt
Filed under: Pan troglodytes (chimpanzee)
Lineage: Eukaryota; Metazoa; Chordata; Mammalia; Primates; Hominidae
Description: processed transcript
Source: RNAcentral